AUGCAGCAAUCAAAAAAAUAUUUUACAGCAUUUAUAUGUGUAAUUUGUAGAUUACAAGAACUUUUAUAAACAUUUAUUAUUCAAGUAAAGAACUGAUAAGGCUCUUCUGUUAAAAAUAAAAUUUAAAUUGAGAAGGCUAAUAUUAUAAGACAUAUGCAUAUGGUAAAGCGUGAGUUUCGAAAAGAAUAACAAAAAGAAAGUUUAUCAACUCUAUUUCUCUCUUUCUCCCUUUUCAAUUUCAGUCACCUCUAUAUGACACCGCAAACGAUAAUACUGCUGUAACGACCGUUCCAGAGACUUAGGUAGACCCGUAUUAAACAGUCGUGAACCGUCAUCGGUGGUAUCAAUUAUUCCUAAUCAUUGCAACAGAAGUGCCAUUGAAGAUCUCAUACGAAAUUUUUUCCUAAAUUGGCGCAAAUACAACGCAGCUAGUAUCUAACCGAUGUUAAAAGAAGAGAAUUUUCGAUUAAAAUUGAACCGAAUAAUUUGUCUGUUCUAAAUUUCUGAAUUUGGAAGCUUUAUUGAAGAAUCUUAGUCAGUCAUUUAAAAUAACGGUUGAGUCUUGGCACAUAAAAAAAAUUAAGAAAAGAACAGAAAAAGUUAUAUACAUACAUGAAACACGUAUAUUAAAUAUAAUAAUUUAUCCUUCAAUUUACUUGAUAUAGCGUUAUUUGCGAUCAUCAUCGCUAACAUUGUGUGUGCCUUCGAUGCAUCAAUGUUAUUUAGCGGCAAGACUGAAACUAUAUUUGCUAAUCUAUCUACAGCGAUUAUAACAUAUGUAGAAUUAAAGGAUAUAUCAAGUCUAAAAGAUCCAUCGUAUAUAAAACAAUUGUUACACAGAGAAAACACAGUAUUUAGUCCUAUCAAUAUAAUUAUGAUAACAUCCUUACUUUUAAACGGCGCUAAAGAAGGAGCAACAAAGAAUGAAUUGAUGUCUCUUUUGAAAAUUACUGAUAAUAUACAUUUAGACGGAUUCCUAGCUAUGCUUACUAAUUUAAAUGAUAUCGAAAACAUCGAAUUGCAUCUAAAAACCGCAGUAUAUGUUCAAAAUUCAGUUGAGCUAACGGCGGCUUUUUCAUCAAUAUGCGUAAAUAAAUUUAAUUGUUCGAUUUCAAAAGUAGAUUUCAGAAAUAAUAUAAAUGUUGCAGAAACUAUAAAUUCAUGGCUGCGAAAAACAACAAAUUACAAGAUAUUAUAUGACGUAAUUUCUUCAGGUAU
Molecule: long non-coding RNA, 1218 nt
Organism: Formica exsecta
Lineage: Eukaryota; Metazoa; Arthropoda; Insecta; Hymenoptera; Formicidae
Exons: 5
Source: RefSeq, a predicted model, not a curated record